CAGGCAGCCGCGGAGCCGCGCGAAGGCAGCGCGCAGAAGGCCGCAGAAAUCAGGGCUUUGGCUUCACCCUGCCUUUCGGGCCGUUUAAAGAGACCCGGAGGAGGCUCUUGCGAACACGUCCAGGAGUCAAAAUGUACGAAAGACAGUAUUGCUGCAUAAAGUAUACGAAUCCUUUUAGUAGGCUGGCAGCAUGCCACAUGCUCGCAUAAUUUCUCUCUUAUUCCUGCCUGGGAAUGGAUGACUGGGCAUUUGUACCCUGCUUGUGAAAGGAGAAAGUUUCUCUUCAGGCCCGGGCAGGGAGCUGGCAUCCGAUGUUCGUGUUUCCCUGUGUUGUUUUGCCAAUGCCAUCAAUCUACACCACCCUUUUUAAGAGCGAAAGGCAAUCUGAGAACAGUAGGGUAGCUACCUUAAAUCAAAAUAAACAAACAAUGGCAGAUUAAACCUGUAGCACGAACCCCAUUUGCUCCAGCCCUUACUGUAAGCAGCAUAUCUUUAGGAUAACCUGUCAAAAGGGGUCCUAGCGAAGAAGGGUGCUUGGAUUUAGGGAGGGGGUGCCUGUUUUCUGAAUAACGCCCCUGUUCUGGGAGUGAAAGAGCGGUGGGGUCUAGCACAGGCGGCCAGGACAAGUGCUGAUAUGGAAAAGCUGUUCCACCAUCCCUUGGAUGUGAAGGCUACACCCAGCUGGGAAGUGCUUCACACACUUCUGGGCAGGUCGAGCAGAAGAAGCAGUUGUUCUGGAACUGGGCCAAUAAAAGGAAAUGCCAAGUCCUGCACCUUGGGAGGAAUUAUCCCUGCACCAGUAUGAGGAGGCAGAACAUCUGGAAAGUAGAUUUUCAGCAAAAACUCUGGGACUCAUGGUGGACACCAAAUUGAACAUAAGCUAGCAGUGUGCUCUUACACCAAAGAAGGCUGAUGCUAUCCUGGGCUGCAUUAGGAAGAGCAUCAUCAACAGGAGGAGAAAGGUGAUUCUUCCUCUCUGCUCAGCCCUGGAGAGACUAUCUGGAGUGCAGGGUCCAGAUCUGGACUUCCCAGUACAAGAAAGGCAUGGACAUAUUGGAGUGAGCCCAGCAAAGGGCCAUGAAGAUGACUAAGGGAUUGGAGCAUCUGACAUAUAAGGAGAGCCCAACAGAGCUGGAAUUGUUUAGUCUGGAGAAGGCUCAGGGGGGAUUUUAUAAAUGUGUAUAAAUAUCUGAUGGGAGAGUGUAACCAAGAUGAAGCCAGAUUCUUCUCAGCGGUGCCCAGUGACAGGAUGAGAGGCAACAGGCACAGACUGGUAUACAGGAAAUUUUACUUGAACAUAAGUAAAAACGUUUUCACUGUGAGUGUGAUCAAACAUUGAAACAAGUUGUCCAGAGAGAUUGUGGAAUUUCCAUCCUUGGAGUUAUCUAAAACCCAGCUGCACAAGGCCCUGAGCAACCUGCCAUGGGUGAUUCUGCUUCCAACAUGGUUGUUGGACCAGAUGAUCUCCAAAGGUGCCUUCCAACCUCAGCAAUUCUGUAAUUCUGUGAUUUAUUCAGCUAACCCUUUUGCUCUUGCAAGAGGCACUUGCAUAUGAGUGCUACUUCGGGGUUUUGCUGUCUAUUGCUGUAACAGCAAGAGUACUCUUUAGUGGAACUGAUUCUUUAGUGGAACUGAUAAAAAAUCAUAUCUAUAUGACUGAAACCCAAUAAAUUCUUUUUGA
Molecule: long non-coding RNA, 1681 nt
Organism: Dromaius novaehollandiae (emu)
Lineage: Eukaryota; Metazoa; Chordata; Aves; Casuariiformes; Dromaiidae
Exons: 3
Source: RefSeq, a predicted model, not a curated record